This 1340-nucleotide long non-coding RNA is filed under the name Mustela putorius furo (domestic ferret). RNAcentral describes it as "lncRNA (ENSMPUG00000025307.1)". Lineage: Eukaryota; Metazoa; Chordata; Mammalia; Carnivora; Mustelidae. The record is from RNAcentral.
AUUGCCACUGAGGUCAGGGCGGUCCCAUCUCAAAACCAAAGUCAGUGUCACCUGAAAAAAAUGUCAUUCACCAGGCCAAGGGACCCCAAAGACCCCUGGCUGAACCCCGCUCCGGGGAAAGGCGUCAAGCUGUGGGCCUGAACCUGCAGGCUCGGCAAAGAACAGAACUGCCAUCAGCAGCGCUCGAACAGCUGGCGCCGCCCCCGGCCAGAAUGGUCUGUGACCCUUGACCCCCGGCCCCUGACCUCCACUGCAGGCACGUCCCACGCUGGGGUUCCCCCUGGGAUAGCUUGAAAGCCCCCUCACCUGUCACAGUUUCAUCUCAUGCCGCAAUGUUGUCCGUCCCACCACCCGCGGGCGCCCGAUCAAAGGUGGACUAGGCGAGGACGUUAUGUGAGGAAGAUGUGGGGUGCUCAAAUCCGGGUAGACAAACCACAACCCGAGCCCAGCAGGCGUCUCCCCCGCGGAGGUUGCACGGUGCCACUGCUGCCGCUGCCGCCGCCGCCGCUGCAGUAAAUCAGCUGACACCCGACUGCCGUGACUUUCGCUGCAACUGUCGCAAAAAUGAGGGGGCGGGAAACGAUCAUCAUUUCCAUACUUGCCUGGCGGAGGCUGGAGCCAGAGAAGCUGGCCCGUUACCAAGGAGACCGAACUGUGUCGACUGUGGGCAAAGAGUGCACGGUCGCCAUUUUUACUAUGGGAAGUGUCGUCUAGGCUCUCGUCUCGCCUCCAGUGCCCAGCCUGGGAGGACCAAGAUGGAGGGAAGAAUGAAAUGAAAGCAAAGCCAAGCAAACAAGAAAGCAGGCUCUGCUUCACACCAAGGCUCACAAAAUGAGGAAUUCUCUAAACAUUGGAAGGCGUUGGGCUGCUAAAAUGAAUGGCAAAUUUCCCCCAAGACCUGUGGCUACCAUACAGCACAGUACAAGGAAUAAGGAGCACAUAAAGAGUCGUGGAGAAGAGGUGAGUUCCUUGUAGGCUGAGAUGAGGAAGGUGAACCACAUGAGAUUUCAUGAAGGGCUACGAAAAUAAAUAGGAUUUGGAACAGGAAGAACUAGGAAAGCAACACAAUUUUGUUGCUAGUUUUGAAAUGUAUACAAGUGUGUGUAUACAUAUAACACAUGAAUAUAGACACAUAUAUAAUGAACAGAAAGUUAAUUGAAAGUGAAACACAGGGGACAUAAAGCAAAUGUAAAGGGAAACUGUGGCAUUAAGACUUAGUUAUGGGACGCCUGUGUGGUUCAGUCAGUUAAGCAUCUGCCUUCAGCUUUGUCAUGAUCCCUGGGUCCUGGGAUGGAGCCCUAUAUCAGGCUCUCUGCUUCUUCCUUUCCCUCUGCCCCUCC